AUUGAACGCUGGCGGCAGGCCUAACACAUGCAAGUCGAGCGAGCGGCGGACGGGUGAGUAAUGUAUGGGAAUCUGCCUGAUGGAGGGGGAUAACUACUGGAAACGGUAGCUAAUACCGCAUACACUCAGAUGACCCCAUAUGGGAUUAGCUAGUAGGUUAGGUAACGGCUCACCUAGGCGACGAUCCAUAGCGGGUCUGAGAGGAUGAUCAGACAGACUGGAACUGAGAAACGGUCCAGACUCCGAAGGGAGGCAGCAGUGGGGAAUAUGGCACAAUGGGCGAAAGCCUGAUGCAGCCAUGCCGGGUGUAUGAAGAAGGCCGUCGGGUUGUAAAGUACUUUCAGUUGGGAGGCGUUACCGACAGAAGAAGCACCGGCUAACUCCGUGCCAGCAGCCGCGGUAAUAC
Molecule: ribosomal RNA, 406 nt
Filed under: uncultured bacterium
Lineage: Bacteria
Description: partial 16S ribosomal RNA
Rfam family: Bacterial small subunit ribosomal RNA
Source: RNAcentral